GACGAACGCUGGCGGCGCGCUUAACACAUGCAAGUCGAACGGAAAGGCCCUGCUUUUGUGGGGUGCUCGAGUGGCGAACGGGUGAGUAACACGUGAGUAACCUGCCCUUGACUUUGGGAUAACUUCAGGAAACUGGGGCUAAUACCGGAUAGGAGCUCCUGCUGCAUGGUGGGGGUUGGAAAGUUUCGGCGGUUGGGGAUGGACUCGCGGCUUAUCAGCUUGUUGGUGGGGUAGUGGCUUACCAAGGCUUUGACGGGUAGCCGGCCUGAGAGGGUGACCGGCCACAUUGGGACUGAGAUACGGCCCAGACUCCUACGGGAGGCAGCAGUGGGGAAUAUUGCACAAUGGGCGGAAGCCUGAUGCAGCAACGCCGCGUGCGGGAUGACGGCCUUCGGGUUGUAAACCGCUUUCGCCUGUGACGAAGCGUGAGUGACGGUAAUGGGUAAAGAAGCACCGGCUAACUACGUGCCAGCGGCCGCGGUGAUACGUAGGGUGCGAGCGUUGUCCGGAUUUAUUGGGCGUAAAGGGCUCGUAGGUGGUUGAUCGCGUCGGAAGUGUAAUCUUGGGGCUUAACCCUGAGCGUGCUUUCGAUACGGGUUGACUUGAGGAAGGUAGGGGAGAAUGGAAUUCCUGGUGGAGCGGUGGAAUGCGCAGAUAUCAGGAGGAACACCAGUGGCGAAGGCGGUUCUCUGGGCCUUUCCUGACGCUGAGGAGCGAAAGCGUGGGGAGCGAACAGGCUUAGAUACCCUGGUAGUCCACGCUGUAAACGGUGGGUACUAGGUGUGGGGUCCAUUCCACGGGUUCCGUGCCGUAGCUAACGCUUUAAGUACCCCGCCUGGGGAGUACGGCCGCAAGGCUAAAACUCAAAGGAAUUGACGGGGCCCCGCACAAGCGGCGGAGCAUGCGGAUUAAUUCGAUGCAACGCGUAGAACCUUACCUGGGUUUGACAUGGAUCGGGAGCGCUCAGAGAUGGGUGUGCCUCUUUUGGGGUCGGUUCACAGGUGGUGCAUGGCUGUCGUCAGCUCGUGUCGUGAGAUGUUGGGUUAAGUCCCGCAACGAGCGCAACCCUUGUUCACUGUUGCCAGCACGUUAUGGUGGGGACUCAGUGGAGACCGCCGGGGUCAACUCGGAGGAAGGUGGGGAUGACGUCAAGUCAUCAUGCCCCUUAUGUCCAGGGCUUCACGCAUGCUACAAUGGCUGGUACAGAGAGUGGCGAGCCUGUGAGGGUGAGCGAAUCUCGGAAAGCCGGUCUCAGUUCGGAUUGGGGUCUGCAACUCGACCUCAUGAAGUCGGAGUCGCUAGUAAUCGCAGAUCAGCAACGCUGCGGUGAAUACGUUCCCGGGGCU
Molecule: ribosomal RNA, 1346 nt
Filed under: uncultured bacterium
Lineage: Bacteria
Description: bacterial SSU rRNA
Rfam family: Bacterial small subunit ribosomal RNA
Source: RNAcentral